Molecule: long non-coding RNA, 220 nt
Filed under: Gallus gallus (chicken)
Lineage: Eukaryota; Metazoa; Chordata; Aves; Galliformes; Phasianidae
Source: RNAcentral
GCCGUGGAGGUGCGGCUGGAACGGCUGCUGCUUGGCAAAGGGAAAAGAAGCUGCGGAGGGGACGGGGGAGAUGCUCGCGCCGCCCUUGCUGCAGUAGGUCGUAGCCACGAGGUGAGGAAGCAGCAGACGGCCGCCGUUCUGUUUUUCCCCGAGUGCCAGCCCAGAACUUGCUUUUCCACCUGGUGGAUGCUCGUCUGACAGCUGCACGCAGCUCCUCAGC